RNAcentral lists this long non-coding RNA (617 nucleotides) under Elaeis guineensis (African oil palm). Its description in RNAcentral is "long non-coding RNA (EGUI_LNC060204)". The record is from RNAcentral. Lineage: Eukaryota; Viridiplantae; Streptophyta; Magnoliopsida; Arecales; Arecaceae.
AUGGCCAAACGGACAUUGGAAACUUCCUCGCGUGCGCGCGGUGAUCAGCACUCGCAUGAAGAGGUGGGAGGAUAGCAUCCUUCCAGAAGAAUUUUAUCACCAUUUUAUAUUUUCUUAGAUCAAGAUUGAAUCACUUAUUCACAUGAAUUUUUGUGGAUUUUUUUGAUUUGAGAAGGGAUGCAAAAAUAUCCUUUCUCUAGUUGCGCACACAGAUGAGCAUGCUGAUUGACGUAUCAUUGAUUAGAGUCCUUCCACUUGAAGGAACUCUUUUCUCUGAUAAUCAGAUCAAAUAUGCCCCUUGGAUGAGGUGUGCUCCUCCCUUUUGGAGUCCCUCUGGUGGCUAUAAAUUGGUCGGGGUGUUGGGUGUCCGUGGCAUUCAGAUCGAGUUUCCAAUUUUGUCUCCGUUGCUCUCCUUUCUUUCUUACAAUCUAUCUUAGUUUUGGGACAAGGCUUUGAGAUUUAAGAUAAAGCCUUAUCUAAUCCAAAAAGGAGUUGUGAGGAUCUUAAAGAAGGAGAAUCAGAAGUCCAGAGGAGGUUCUGAGAGGGUGGAGUUAGGUUCUUGAAGAAACCUAAUCGAUAUGAGGCUAGUCGAGUUUUAGGGGCUAGAACUCUUGAAG